RNAcentral lists this transfer RNA (86 nucleotides) under Candidatus Woesearchaeota archaeon. RNAcentral's name for it is "tRNA-Leu". The record is from RNAcentral. Lineage: Archaea; Nanobdellati; Candidatus Woesearchaeota.
GCGGGGGUGGCAGAGCCUGGUCAAAUGCGCAAGGUUGAGGGCCUUGUCCCUUAGUGGGUGCAUGCGUUCAAAUCGCGUCCUCCGCA